Molecule: non-coding RNA, 72 nt
Organism: Aethalodelphis obliquidens (Pacific white-sided dolphin)
Lineage: Eukaryota; Metazoa; Chordata; Mammalia; Artiodactyla; Delphinidae
Source: the annotation of a RefSeq genome assembly
UCCCUGGUGGUCCAGUGGUUAGGACUCUGUGCUUUCACCGCUGGGGCCCAGGUUCGAGCCCUGGUUGGGGAA